GCUGAAGGAGGUUUUAGAAGUCUCUAAAGCCAAUAGCAUAGCUACCUCAAAUUUCCAAUGAUGUUAACAAGGAAGAAACCACAAGAAUCAAUGCCCAGAGAUCGUCAGAUCUGCACCUGUACGUAAGGUGUAUAAAAAGUAAGAGUGAGUAGGGAACCACGUGUACUAAGCCAGCAUCGUCGACCAAUCCUAAUUCAAAGUGGUGACAAGAAACACCACGUUAACCAUCUAAAAAUAAUCAUACAACCUGCACUCAGGAAAGCCACCAUAUUCUAUCUGAAUAAUCAAGUCUAACAGACAUAACGAUAUCAUAACAUAGUCCAAGAAGUCCUCAAUACAAUGAAACAAGUAACACAUAUACAAUAAGUACAAGGUCAAUAAAUACACCUUAACCAAUCUGAACCAAAAUGAAUCAAUGCAGUGUGAUGCAAUGCAUAUGAUGUGUACAUAUCUACCGAACAAUUGCUUCAAGGUCAGAACCCAUGGGGGACUCACAAGAUCCAUGUACUAUGCAAGCGUGCACUUCGAUCUCAAUAAAUAUAUUGUGUAGGCGUGCACUCCGAUCUCAAUAAAUAUAUUGUGCAGGAGUGCACUCCAAUCCUUGCAUGACGUGUAUGCGUGCAACUCCGAUCCCAAAGCAACAAUGAUGUUAAUCAUAGAAUUUUAAGUCUUAUGUCGAAUAAACAUCAAUUCCAAAAUCAACUCAACUUAUCAAGUGAGAGUAUUUUUAUUAGCUAGCUUUUUCAACAAAUUCAUUUACCAUAGCAAAUCAGUCCACCGGGCUAGCAAAUAGGGAAAAACAGUUCAAAACAUACAAUUAACUUAUUUUAUCUCCUCAAAUAAUACGGGUACCCGCAUGAUGCUUGUCACAAUCACUUAUACGGGACCCCCAAUUUUCAUUACUUCCAUUAAACAUAACUAACAAAUAAGCACUUUGAAAAAGAGCCUAGAGAAAGUCUCAACUUGCCUCAAAUUACCACCCAAGCAUCAAUUUAUAAGCUUGCCUUUUCGUAGAGUCUUCGAACUGUCAAAAUCUGUUUCAAAUACAUAAUUUCCAUAAAAUACGAAUCUAAUAACAUCCAUUUUAUAAAUUCUUGCUCUAAAAACCUAGGCCAAUAACUUAAUUUAUAUCUAUAAUCUAUAAUAUAUUAAAAGUGUGAAGGGUCUUAGAAAUAUUGUUUGAAUUUUUGUUUUAAAUAAAAUUAUUUUUCACUAUUUUUUCUAAUAUUUAAGAUUUAACAAUUAAUUAAAUAAAUUUAUAGUAAAAUCUCUUCUUAUUAGAAGUCAUCAAAAUUAAUGAUAAUUAAUAUUUUUUAAAAUACUUUAAGAAUUUUAAAAUAGUAAAUUUUAAUUUUAAAAAAAUUAAAAAUAAAUAAAAUUAUUCAAUUUUAAAUAAUUAAAUAUUGCACAUAAGAUUAAACCAAAGUAUCAAAAGUGGUAACAUUCCAUAGGAAAACUUCUAUUUGAAAGUAACCAACAGUGGCGUGCGCCACUUUCAAUUCACCGAAACAUGAUUUUCAUGCCAAUUUCACACACAAGAAAAAACAAAAUUACUGUAAAUAUUGGUGAAAGUCAACUUUGUCAAUAAAGGUUAAUAAUAAUAAAAUAAUGCUAAUGUACCAUUUACAAAAUAAUUGUUAAACGGACCACAGACCCACUUUCUUUUUCAUUGCACCAAUUGAACUUGAACACUACCUUUUCCAUUUUUUUCUUUCAAGCUAAUCAGGCGUACAUGUUUUGGACGUGAUACAAUUAUUUAGAUUUAUUAAUUAUAUAAGGUUAUAUUUAUUUAUGAUAAGCUGAGUAUAAUUCUCAAUAUUUGCUAAUUAUUUUUUAUGAAUUGAAUAAAAAAAUUUUAUGGACAAUUGUAUCUUGCUUUUGAAGUUAUCAAUAAAAUAUUUUAAAUACUGAAAGUUAAAAUUAUUGAUAAAGUUAAAAAUGAAGAUUGUGGUAUCAAUUAAGUUCAAAUUAUUUUUUUAAAAAAACUUUUUUGAUUAUUGAGAGUUAAAUUCUUAGGCAUAAACUAAAUAUAAAGAACUAAUAGAUUUUCGAGGUUUAUUUUGAUGAAUUUAAUUUUUUUCUUUAAUUAAAUUAAAACAAGCAUAAAUUAUCAUAUUGACUAAAUUAACUUCUUGCCACGUGAAAUUAUGAAUAAAAUUAAGACUUCAUAAAUAUCUAAGGAAAUACAUAUCUAUUUAUAGUUAUAUAAUAUAUGUUUAUAAACUCAUAAAAAUAUUAAUGUUUUUCAAUUUAUGAUCUUUGUGAGUUAUAAUUAUUUUAUAUAUUUAAUCAUAUUAUUAUAUAAAAUAUUAAUUUACUUGAGUUUGGGUCCGGACUUAGCACGACCUUAUUAAACUAGUAACUAUAUAUAAGAGAAAAUCUUAUAUUUUGAUAUUCUUCACAGAUUUUUUGGUGCAAUUAGAUUGCCACACAUAUCUAUUGUCUUUUCCAUACAUAUCAUCACAUUUUUUUGGUAACUAACAUGAUUUUAUCAAUCACCAAAGUAAUAAUUAUAGAUCAAAACAUAACUUACAAACUCAGCUGGCUAUACUCAAAGAAAAAGGAAAGACAAGGAUCCUAAUCAACCAAUUAGAAGAAAACAAAGGACCACUCGAGGCAAUAGUCAAGCUAGCCAAAAAUGAAAAUUAUGCAGAAGAGUACUGAUUGUUGGUUUAUCUCUAGUAAUGUAGGUGUGGGCUAAUUCUUUUGCAAGGCUGUCACAUGUCCUCUGUUUUUCCUCAAAUAUUCUUCGGUUUCUUUCAAUCCAGAGAGAGUGUACACAUUUAACAAAGACAAGUUUGAAGAUUAUAUUCUUGCUUCUUGAGAUUUUCCUUUAGCAUUCUUUACGACCCACGUUGUAUAGUCCUCCCAUGUACUUAUAGUGAUUGCAUCUUUAUGUAUCUAGCGAAGCACCCGAGUCCAGAGGGUCUUGCAAAAGGGCAAGAAAGGAAAAGAUGAUCCUUAGUUUCAUCUUGCAUUAGACAUAGAACAUAAGUAGGAGAAAUUUUGAGACUCCAUUUAAGAAGUCUGUCCAUAGUUAGUAAUAUCCCAUGAAAAUGAAGCCACAUAGUAAAUUUUGCCUUGAUCGUGCAUCAUACUCAAACAUCAAGCAUUUCCAAGGCGUAGAUGGUUCAACAGGAAGGAGAGCAUGGUAGAAAUGUUUGAUGAGGUUAUGAGAGAAAGUUGAAACCUGACAAACUAAAGCAACAAUGUCUCUAGCAGAUAUGAUUUGUUUGAUCAUCCAAGAUGCCUUAGGAACCUCAUUGAAAAGUCUGUCUUUUAUAUAGCAUGUAUGAACCCAUCUCACCCAUUUGUCCGCUUUAUUGUCUACAUCUUGCAAUAACAAUUUUGUUCCAGAAUCUCUAGUUAAUCAGAUUUAGUCCUCCUGUGGCAAUAGGUGAGCAAACCUUAUCCCAUGCUACUAAUGCCUUUUUAGUGAUUGUGUUUGCCCCAUACCACAUAUAACUCUGACAAUACGCAUCAAUCACUUUGACAACUUUAGUAGGAAUUGUAAAGAGUUGAGCCCAAUAGGCCUGCAUGCCAAACAACACGGAUUGAAUCAUUUGUUCUCGCUUAUUAUUCUAUUAUUUUCUAUUUGGACCCUUGUAAUUGAAUGAGACACAGUAGUAAUUUAUUUUUUUAAUAAAUCUCACCUUGUUUCUUUUUAUUUAUUUCUUAUAUUGAAAUUAAUUACUUUUUACUUAUUAAUUUUAGUAAAGCACGAAAGAUUUUUACAUUUUUUUAUACUUCCUCCGUCUCAUUUUACUCGUCUCAAUUUGGCAUUGCAUAUUGAUUAAGAAAAAUAAUUAAUAACAUACCUACUUUACCAUCGCAUCCCUAUUAAAUUAUGUUUACAUUUUAAUUUGGAGAAAAAAAUAAUUAAUACUAAGGGUAAAAAAGAAAAGAAAAAGUUGUCUUGUCUUGAUUAAUGAAAAAUGACAAGUAAAAUAAAAAAUUAAAUUAAGAAAUCUUAGACGAGUAAAAUGGGAUGAAGGAAGUAUCAUUUUUAUUAUUAAGUAACUGUAUAUGUCACACCCCUUUUUAACUCCAAGAAAAAUUAUUUUUAUGGGUUUCGAAAGGAUUUUAUUUAUUAAAGUGACAAAAAUGAGGAUUUAUUUCGAAAAAGAAUUAUUUAUAUUUUUUAUUCAGAGUCGUCACUUGACAUAAUCCGGUGUGCCAAGUCACCUUUGGAGAAUCCUUUUCGAAAUGAUUUGACUCUUUACAAAACUGGUUUGCGACAAAGAUUCCGGCUAAGAAAUUCUGUUGACCGAGGGGAAGGUGUUAGGCAUCCCUCGAUCCCAUGGUUCGCCCACGGUCGCUUGGUGGAGCAUAUCAGCUAAUUUGACAUUACAAAUGCAUAAUCCACACAAAAACACAUAAACAAUCAAUCAAACACGAAACAAAACAAAUCCAAAAUAUAGUGUUCAGUCCAAUUAUACAGUUCAAAAUAAAAAAUGCGAAAAAAUAAAUCCUAUUCUAACCUACACUAAUCCUAAACUAUGCUCCAGUGCUUUACCUGAUGCCUCGAUCCUUCGUCACGGGCGUCUUCCGAGUACAAAAUACCGCGGGGCAUUUCCCGGCGAAUAAACACAAAUAUCUCAGGGCAUUUUCCGCCAAAUAAUACAUUUGAUCCAAAAGCAAUAAAACCAAGCCAUUCAACACAUGUUUCGAGCAUUCAACAUUCCACAAUUCCUAAAACUUGCCAACCCGAACCUACUAUUUGCCUACCCAACUCGAUCUAUCAUGGCACUAUCACGAUCGACGACGUCAAUGAAUCAAAACAACAAAAAAAUUAAAAUUAAUCCUAAUUAAGAUUAGCAAUUUUUCAAUUCCGCUCCAAAUUCAUUCUCAACCAAUGAUUAACACAUGCAUCGAUUAUCAAUUCAUUUUUCAACAUUCAAAUCCAACAUCAACCAAUACACAAUCAAGAUUCAAACAUACCAACACAUAAAUCAUUCACGAUUACGUAAAAAUUAAAAAAAGAGGAGAUAGAAUUGGACCUCAGUGCUUUCAAAAAUCGAUGUAUUAUUUCGAUUAACCUGGUAGAAUCCGCAUCCAAAAUCCUCGAACAAAACCCUCCAUCACGAUCAAGAAUCCAACUCGGUAUCAAGAAAGUGAACCCAAAACUGAUUACGGUGAAUUGAUUGGGACGAAACAGAAUCUAAAUCCAAAAAUCAGUUCAAAGACAGAUGAGCCAAGACCAAAAUUGCAACAGAGUAAAUCGAACCCGUCAAAAUUCUCAGCAAACAAACUCACAACUUGAACAAAAAACCCCCAAAAACCCGAACUUACCCAAACAAUCCCACUGAACCUUUUCGAUUUUUAUCUUUUUCCGAUGAAAGUUGACCAGAAUAAAAUGAAACGACUCAAAGUUUUAUGGAUUAGACGGCUGACUUACUUUUCGACGAGAUUCAGAUGGAAAAUCGGGAUCGGUAUUAACUUCUUGAUGCGAGCAUGGUUGGAACGAGAUUAGCGGAGCUUUCUCGGUGGCAAUUCUAGUGAGUCACCAGCGAGAGCUUUGUCGGAAAGCAGUCCAAUUGCCUCUCUGUCUCUCUCUCAAUCUCUCUGGUUUGCUUAAAUCUCUCUUACCUUCAACGAUUUCUCACAGUUUCUCUUUUAACUCUCUAUGCCUCUCUCCAUCUCUUACUCUCACUCUCCUCUCUUCCUCUUACUGUGUGUAUUUUUUGAGUUUUCAGUGAGCUGGUGAAAAUGCUAUGCCAGUGGAAUUGGGGAUUUUGUGGUGAUCAGUGAAUAAGAAAAGGAAAAAAAUGGCGCGGUGUGUUCUAUGUUGAGAAAAAAAAGAAUCCAGUGGUGUGUAUAUUCUGUGUAUAUGGAUUGGUCAAGAAGAAAAGAAAAUCCCCUGUACCUGUGUGUUUUUGGAAAAAUGGAUAAGAAGUCCAAAGAGAAAGGAAAAAAAGGCCUCCCCUAAUCUAUUCCAGUGAAUGGAAAUUAUAUUGAUGGAAUGUGGGGUCCAUGAGUGAGGUGUCUAUUUUGAUUGGGUAAGUUAUUAGGAUGAGGUGUAAAGUUGGUUAGGAUAGAAUUAAAACAAGAUAAAAUUUGUUAAGGAUUAUGUUAAGGGUUGUUAUUAUUUUUUUGUAGGGUAUAAUUAUAUGGAUGAGGGUGUACAAUAAAGUGAGGUAAAAAUGAAUAAAAUUAGACUUGGGAGGGAUAAAAUUAGGUAUCUACGACAUGCCCCCUUUGAAUGUAAACAUGAAGUGUUUUCAAACAAAGAAGUAGACAACGAGAUAAAAUUUUGUCCCAACUAUUAUUCAAAAAGAAUGAAAUAGAAAGAAGGAGGAAAACCAAGUCUUGACUUUGGAAAUCAUACUUAUCCCUAGUUAUGGGGGAAUCAAGUCACAGGUAUCCCAAGGACUGAAAGAAGAGGGACUAUACCGAGUUGGAGAGUCGAGCGAGGUUCUGUCGAGGUUCCGAUCUGCGGCUCUGUCAUUACAUCAAAACAAAAAUUACAAGUUAAAACAUAAAUGAAAUUACAAAAGUCCUCUCUAUGC
This 6509-nucleotide long non-coding RNA is filed under the name Capsicum annuum. RNAcentral describes it as "long non-coding RNA (CANN_LNC003725)". The record is from RNAcentral. Lineage: Eukaryota; Viridiplantae; Streptophyta; Magnoliopsida; Solanales; Solanaceae.